Molecule: ribosomal RNA, 253 nt
Filed under: uncultured bacterium
Lineage: Bacteria
Description: partial 16S ribosomal RNA
Rfam family: Bacterial small subunit ribosomal RNA
Source: RNAcentral
UACGUAGGGGGCAAGCGUUGUCCGGAUUUAUUGGGCGUAAAGAGCGUGUAGGCGGCCAGGUAGGUCUGCUGUGAAAACUCGAGGCUUAACCUCGAGAUGUCGGCGGAAACCAUCUGGCUAGAGUCCGGAAGAGGAGAGUGGAAUUCCUGGUGUAGCGGUGAAAUGCGCAGAUAUCAGGAAGAACACCGAUGGCGAAGGCAGCUCUCUGGGACGGUACUGACGCUGAGACGCGAAAGCGUGGGGAGCGAACAGG